Molecule: ribosomal RNA, 433 nt
Filed under: uncultured bacterium
Lineage: Bacteria
Description: partial 16S ribosomal RNA
Rfam family: Bacterial small subunit ribosomal RNA
Source: RNAcentral
AACGAACGCUGGCGGCAUGCCUAACACAUGCAAGUCGAACGAGACCUUCGGGUCUAGUGGCGCACGGGUGCGUAACGCGUGGGAACCUGCCCUUAGGUUCGGAAUAACUCCCCGAAAGGGGUGCUAAUACCGGAUAAUGUCUUCGGACCAAAGAUUUAUCGCCUUUGGAUGGGCCCGCGUUGGAUUAGCUAGUCGGUAGGGUAAAAGCCUACCAAGGCGACGAUCCAUAGCUGGUCUGAGAGGAUGAUCAGCCACACUGGGACUGAGACACGGCCCAGACUCCUACGGGAGGCAGCAGUGGGGAAUAGUGGACAAUGGGCGAAAGCCUGAUCCAGCAAUGCCGCGUGAGUGAUGAAGGCCUUAGGGUUGUAAAGCUCUUUUAACCGGGAUGAUAAUGACAGUACCGGGAGAAUAAGCGCCGGCUAACUCCGUG